Molecule: ribosomal RNA, 1506 nt
Filed under: Klebsiella sp.
Lineage: Bacteria; Pseudomonadati; Pseudomonadota; Gammaproteobacteria; Enterobacterales; Enterobacteriaceae
Also listed under: 2 other names
Description: bacterial SSU rRNA
Rfam family: Bacterial small subunit ribosomal RNA
Source: RNAcentral
AGAGUUUGAUCAUGGCUCAGAUUGAACGCUGGCGGCAGGCCUAACACAUGCAAGUCGAGCGGUAGCACAGAGAGCUUGCUCUCGGGUGACGAGCGGCGGACGGGUGAGUAAUGUCUGGGAAACUGCCUGAUGGAGGGGGAUAACUACUGGAAACGGUAGCUAAUACCGCAUAAUGUCGCAAGACCAAAGUGGGGGACCUUCGGGCCUCAUGCCAUCAGAUGUGCCCAGAUGGGAUUAGCUAGUAGGUGGGGUAACGGCUCACCUAGGCGACGAUCCCUAGCUGGUCUGAGAGGAUGACCAGCCACACUGGAACUGAGACACGGUCCAGACUCCUACGGGAGGCAGCAGUGGGGAAUAUUGCACAAUGGGCGCAAGCCUGAUGCAGCCAUGCCGCGUGUGUGAAGAAGGCCUUCGGGUUGUAAAGCACUUUCAGCGGGGAGGAAGGCGGUGAGGUUAAUAACCUCAUCGAUUGACGUUACCCGCAGAAGAAGCACCGGCUAACUCCGUGCCAGCAGCCGCGGUAAUACGGAGGGUGCAAGCGUUAAUCGGAAUUACUGGGCGUAAAGCGCACGCAGGCGGUCUGUCAAGUCGGAUGUGAAAUCCCCGGGCUCAACCUGGGAACUGCAUUCGAAACUGGCAGGCUAGAGUCUUGUAGAGGGGGGUAGAAUUCCAGGUGUAGCGGUGAAAUGCGUAGAGAUCUGGAGGAAUACCGGUGGCGAAGGCGGCCCCCUGGACAAAGACUGACGCUCAGGUGCGAAAGCGUGGGGAGCAAACAGGAUUAGAUACCCUGGUAGUCCACGCCGUAAACGAUGUCGAUUUGGAGGUUGUGCCCUUGAGGCGUGGCUUCCGGAGCUAACGCGUUAAAUCGACCGCCUGGGGGAGUACGGCCGCAAGGUUAAAACUCAAAUGAAUUGACGGGGGCCCGCACAAGCGGUGGAGCAUGUGGUUUAAUUCGAUGCAACGCGAAGAACCUUACCUGGUCUUGACAUCCACAGAACUUUCCAGAGAUGGAUUGGUGCCUUCGGGAACUGUGAGACAGGUGCUGCAUGGCUGUCGUCAGCUCGUGUUGUGAAAUGUUGGGUUAAGUCCCGCAACGAGCGCAACCCUUAUCCUUUGUUGCCAGCGGUCCGGCCGGGAACUCAAAGGAGACUGCCAGUGAUAAACUGGAGGAAGGUGGGGAUGACGUCAAGUCAUCAUGGCCCUUACGACCAGGGCUACACACGUGCUACAAUGGCAUAUACAAAGAGAAGCGACCUCGCGAGAGCAAGCGGACCUCAUAAAGUAUGUCGUAGUCCGGAUUGGAGUCUGCAACUCGACUCCAUGAAGUCGGAAUCGCUAGUAAUCGUAGAUCAGAAUGCUACGGUGAAUACGUUCCCGGGCCUUGUACACACCGCCCGUCACACCAUGGGAGUGGGUUGCAAAAGAAGUAGGUAGCUUAACCUUCGGGAGGGCGCUUACCACUUUGUGAUUCAUGACUGGGGUGAAGUCGUAACAAGGUAACCGUAG